Molecule: long non-coding RNA, 1628 nt
Organism: Ostrinia nubilalis (European corn borer)
Lineage: Eukaryota; Metazoa; Arthropoda; Insecta; Lepidoptera; Crambidae
Exons: 3
Source: RefSeq, a predicted model, not a curated record
ACCAAAGGACAAUGUUCAUUUCUGGCCUGGCGUGGACAAGCUGCUAAUGAAAAUAUGAAUUUGCCAAAAAUUUUUAAUUAAUUUUUAAAGUAUUCACUUAUUGUAACUUUGUAUCAAUUUGCCUUUAUAAAAAUCCAAUUUAAAUAGUACUUUAUGUGAUAAUUACAACUUCCUGUCUUUAACACUCAUUUCAGUGUUGCCAAAAUGAAUCUUAUCGGUAAGAAUCGAUUCAUAUCGAUUGUUGUUUGACUAUGACAAUUAUUAUUUUUUUAAAUACGUAUUCAUUAAAAUGACAUUUAUAAAACCUUCUUAAUAUUCUAAUAACACUACCAAAAAUAUUUAAAUAACUAAAUAAAACCUUAUUUCACACACACCUUAUUAUACACCUUAUUUCGAGUCAUCAAAAAUACAAUCGAUUUUUAUAUCGAUUAUUUUUAUUCAUCACCACAUUAUUAGCAUGGCAACACUGAAAAUAUUGUCACAGCUGUUAUCUGUCAUUCGCUUUGUUUUGUAUUUUUCAUCGUGAGUGUUGUUUAGUUCUCAAAACCAAGUUUUUGCCAAAAUAAAAGCAGAAGAGUGUUGUAUAAGUUUCCCUUUUGACGUCUUUAUUUUUUUGACCAUGGUCCUCGAUGCUUCCCUUCCCGAUGACCCUGGCAUACUCUCGAACUACGAAUCUCACUCAACCAAUGACCAAUGGCUCACUUUCGGCCAUCGAACCUUGCCUAAACGCCGACCACGGCUUACGUAUGGACUCCGACCCGAGCCCCAAUGUUAACCCCAGCCCGAUUUUGGAUAAUGCAACUAGCAAUUCCUCAACCUCAUGAGGAACCUAUGAUAAUGUAUCAAUUGUAUAGCUGACAUGAUGCAGAGGAGGCGACAUAGCCUAGAGCUUAUUAAGUUCAGUUGGUUAUAAUGUCAGUGGAUGACUCCUCAGCUGAUUGGUAACAGCAGUGUAUGUUGUCACUCAUGUUGGACCGUGACCACGGUGUGGCUCUGCACCAAUCAAGGACAAAUAAUAUUUCAAAUGAAGAAGCAACCUCUAGCACUGGUCACUGUUAAUGUGGAUUGUCUUUGUUACAAAUACGUUUCAUAGACUGCAUAUUAACACGGAAAGAGAAUCACAUAUUCGAAAAUAAUGUAAUAAUGGAACAGAUUUCACCUCGUCAACUGCGGGGAUCUGACCAAAUAUGUCAUCCUUAAGUGGCAGUGAGCUGAUUGAGCUGCUACACAUGCUGUGGAGCCCCAACAAACACAUGAUGGGACGAGGAUUCAUUUGCCCUGAUAUUGGCCGAAUAACAGUAGGUUGCUGUGCUCAUGUUAUGACAAUUUUGUGGUUUUUGAGCUGGGCAAGGUAUCAGGAACAUGUAUUUCCACCUGCCUAGUUCCUAGACAAUAUUUUAUUGACCCAUGAGUCAGAUUAAAAUAAUAAUAAUAAAAAAAAAUGGUGUUUUAUUUUGCUUCUAACCUUUCUAGUCUUAAGCAAAAAAAAAUUUUUUUAAGGACUUGGAUACAAAAUGAUAUUUAUAUUCUGUUUCUUACUGGUAUAGACUAUUUAAUAAAUAACAAAUUACAUGCUGUAAUGUCUGUCCACCUCAGGCCAAAGGUCCCAUACUAAGUGGGCAUAACCC